UUAGCUACUAGUCGGUCGCGAGGCCGACGAACGCGAGGCGGGCCUUGGGGGUCGGGAGGGUCUCUCGUCUUCUCUGACGACUUGACCUCAAAUCAGGUAGGACUACCCGCUGAACUUAAGCAUAUCAAUAAGCGGAGGAAAAGAAACUAACAAGGAUUCCCCUAGUAACUGCGAGUGAAGCGGGAUGAGCUCAAAUUUUGAAUCUGGCGGUCUUCGGCCGUCCGAGUUGUAAUCUAGAGAAGCGUCUUCCGCGCUGGCCCGUGUACAAGUCUCCUGGAAAGGAGCGUCGUAGAGGGUGAGAAUCCCGUCUUUGACACGGACUACCAGUGCUAUGUGAUGCGCUCUCGACGAGUCGAGUUGUUUGGGAAUGCAGCUCAAAACGGGUGGUAAAUUCCAUCUAAAGCUAAAUACAGGCGAGAGACCGAUAGCGAACAAGUACCGUGAGGGAAAGAUGAAAAGAACUUUGGAAAGAGAGUUAAACCGUACGUGAAAUUGCUGAAAGGGAAACGCUUGAUGUCAGUCGCGUCGCCCGGGGAUCAACCUUGCUUAACCGCUCGGCGUACUUCCCGGUCGACGGGUCAGCAUCAGUUUCGGUCGCAGUACAAGGGCGAGGGGAACGUGGCACUCUCCGGAGUGUGUUAUAGCCCUUCGUCGCAUGCCGCGGUCGGGACUGAGGAACUCGGCACGGCUUCGGUCUGUGCUUGGGAUGCUGGCAUAAUGGCCUUAAGCGACCCGU
This 736-nucleotide ribosomal RNA is filed under the name Xerocomellus mendocinensis. RNAcentral describes it as "eukaryotic LSU rRNA". The stretch from base 83 to 736 matches the Rfam family "Eukaryotic large subunit ribosomal RNA", at positions 1 to 652 of the family's 3401-position model. The record is from RNAcentral. Lineage: Eukaryota; Fungi; Basidiomycota; Agaricomycetes; Boletales; Boletaceae.